Molecule: ribosomal RNA, 493 nt
Filed under: uncultured bacterium
Lineage: Bacteria
Description: partial 16S ribosomal RNA
Rfam family: Bacterial small subunit ribosomal RNA
Source: RNAcentral
AACGCUGGCGGCGUGCCUAAUACAUGCAAGUCGAGCGAACGGACGAGAAGCUUGCUUCUCUGAUGUUAGCGGCGGACGGGUGAGUAACACGUGGAUAACCUACCUAUAAGACUGGGAUAACUUCGGGAAACCGGAGCUAAUACCGGAUGAUAUUUUGAACCGCAUGGUUCAAAAGUGAAAGACGGUCUUGCUGUCACUUAUAGAUGGAUCCGCGCUGCAUUAGCUAGUUGGUAAGGUAACGGCUUACCAAGGCAACGAUGCAUAGCCGACCUGAGAGAGUGAUCGGCCACACUGGAACUGAGACACGGUCCAGACUCCUACGGGAGGCAGCAGUAGGGAAUCUUCCGCAAUGGGCGAAAGCCUGACGGAGCAACGCCGCGUGAGUGAUGAAGGUCUUCGGAUCGUAAAACUCUGUUAUUAGGGAAGAACAUAUGUGUAAGUAACUGUGCACAUCUUGACGGUACCUAAUCAGAAAGCCACGGCUAACUACGUG